AGUGAACGCUGGCGGUAGGCCUAACACAUGCAAGUCGAACGGCAGCACAGUAAGAGCUUGCUCUUACGGGUGGCGAGUGGCGGACGGGUGAGGAAUACAUCGGAAUCUACUUUUUCGGGGGGGAUAACGUAGGGAAACUUACGCUAAUACCGCAUACGACCUACGGGUGAAAGCAGGGGAUCUUCGGACCUUGCGCGAUUGAAUGAGCCGAUGUCGGAUUAGCUAGUUGGCGGGGUAAAGGCCCACCAAGGCGACGAUCCGUAGCUGGUCUGAGAGGAUGAUCAGCCACACUGGAACUGAGACACGGUCCAGACUCCGACGGGAGGCAGCAGUGGGGAAUAUUGGACAAUGGGCGCAAGCCUGAUCCAGCCAUACCGCGUGGGUGAAGAAGGCCUUCGGGUUGUAAAGCCCUUUUGUUGGGAAAGAAAAGCAGCAGGUUAAUACCCCGCUGUUCUGACGGUACCCAAAGAAUAAGCACCGGCUAACUUCGUG
RNAcentral lists this ribosomal RNA (492 nucleotides) under uncultured bacterium. RNAcentral describes it as "partial 16S ribosomal RNA". It matches the Rfam family "Bacterial small subunit ribosomal RNA", at positions 29 to 507 of the family's 1533-position model. The record is from RNAcentral.